RNAcentral lists this ribosomal RNA (584 nucleotides) under uncultured bacterium. RNAcentral's name for it is "partial 16S ribosomal RNA". It matches the Rfam family "Bacterial small subunit ribosomal RNA", at positions 355 to 932 of the family's 1533-position model. The record is from RNAcentral.
UGGGGAAUAUUGCACAAUGGGCGCAAGCCUGAUGCAGCCAUGCCGCGUGUGUGAAGAAGGCCUUCGGGUUGUAAAGCACUUUCAGCGAGGAGGAAGGUGGUGAGCUUAAUACGCUCAUCAAUUGACGUUACUCGCGGAAGAAGCACCGGCUAACUCCGUGCCAGCAGCCGCGGUAAUACGGAGGGUGCAAGCGUUAAUCGGAAUUACUGGGCGUAAAGCGCACGCAGGCGGUUUGUUAAGUCAGAUGUGAAAUCCCCGGGCUCAACCUGGGAACUGCAUUUGAAACUGGCAAGCUAGAGUCUCGUAGAGGGGGGUAGAAAUUCCAGGUGUAGCGGUGAAAUGCGUAGAGAUCUGGAGGAAUACCGGUGGCGAAGGCGGCCCCCUGGACGAAGACUGACGCUCAGGUGCGAAAAGCGUGGGGCAGCAAACAGGAUUAGAUACCCUGGUAGUCCACGCUGUAAACGAUGUCGAUUUUGGAGGUUGUGCCCUUGAGGCGUGGCUUCCGGAGCUAACGCGUUAAAGUCGACCGCCUGGGGAGUACGGCGCAAGGUUAAAACUCAAAUGAAUUGACGGGGUCAUAGCUG